AUCGAUCACAGAUUUACUGAGGCAGAGAUGGAGAAGACGAGUGCGGCAUAUUUUUCACCCGCUGAGCAGCAACUAAUUAUGGAAAUGUAUGAGGAGGUAAAGCAUAUAAUAUGCAGAAAAGGAAAUACGGCUGCUGUUAUUAAACAGAGAGAAAAAGCCUGGCAAACAAUAGUGGACCGACUGAAUGCAACAAAUGUGACUGGGCAAAAAUGAACCUGGCAACAAGUCAAGAUCAAAUAUAAAAACUGUUUGCAGGCUGCAGUUAGAAGACUCAUUUGUCUGGCACUGGGGGGGGGGGGCACCAGCUCCAGACUUCACCCCAGCUGAGGAAACGGCCCUUGACUUAAACCAAGGAAGGCCUGUGAUGGAAGGGAUUCAGGGUGGGACAGCUAUAGACUCUGAUUCACCUGCAGAAACUGCCCUCUUCAUACGAGUGUCCGGCGACACAGUCACUCUCAUGCCACCAGACGAUGAUCCAGGGGAAGGGGCUGCUGCAGCUGAUGAUGAGGAGAUGUGUCACUGGACUCCAGAAGGCCUGAGGUAUCAUGUCAAUCUAAUGGAAAUGCAUAUUUAGCCCAUAAUGGAUGAGAAGUCAGUGAUGAAGCACUAAAAUGUAUGUAUGUAACAGGAUCCAGACGCAGUACAGUAUGACAGCCAGCCUGGCAACAUAGUAAGUACGGGCUAAUGGCAAUCUGAAUUAUGCACAAUUCCUGCUGUGCUAAUCAAUGGGUGGUUUACAGAAUUCACUAACUGUAAGAUGCCUGUAUACAUGACAUCUGAACAAGCAAAUAGAGCUGGCAGAUGCACAGAUUGCUGUAAGUAAAAGGACUCUCCAGGAUCUGGACCUUGGUAUAGAAAUCAAGAAGAGAACACUGAGGAAACUAGAUCUGGAGAUCCAGAAACUAGAAAAAGAAGUAAGUGACUUCAAUCCACACAGUUUUACAGAUGUGCUUACAAUGUAUUAAUCAUGUUUUUCUUUCUCUCUCCCAAGCUCCAAACUGACAAGGGACAGCACUAAAAUAAGAAGCAUUGUGGUGUUCCCUGUGUGAUGAAUGUACACUACACUAUGCAAAGUUAUUGGUUCAGUGAGGUGAGACGAAAAUUGAGGUUAUGAAACCAAAGUAAGCUACUAUAAUAUCAAAAAACAUUAGGCCUAAUUAAGGAGUAACACAAACAAUCCUUUAUUAGAGAAGGACAAGACAAUGAAAUCAUUUAUCUGAAAUAAUUUAUGUAUUGGUCUCUGACCAGCCUGCCAUUAAUGUCAUCUGGGAAUAUAGCUGCAUUGUCCCACUCAAUCUCCGGUGCCACUGCUGGACCCCUUUCCUUCCUCAGACAGGUAAUAUUAUGUAGGACCGUGCAGGCUACAGUAAUGUCACAGGCCCUGUCUGGGGUGACCCUCAGGUGGUGGAGACACUGAAAUCAUGACUUGAGAAGGCCAAAUGCCAUCUCAAUUCCGGCCCUUGUUCUUGCAUGGGGAAGAUUGUAUCCUUGCUGUGCUGCUGUCUGAGGGUCUGCAAGGGGAGUGAGAAGGUAUGUCUCACAGGCAUAACCCUUGUCUCCCAGCAGAACGCCAGAGAAUUCACCUGAGAAUACAAAAUGUAAUCAUUACAACUACACAUAAGUAAAACCUUUGACGCAAUUGUGUUUAUCAGGAAAAUGUGUGUGGCCUACCUUGUGAUAGUCGCUGGGAAAUGGUACUGGACCUAAAAACUCGGGAGUCAUGGACAGACCCAGGCCACUUUGCCUCCACAUUGGUAAUGAUGCAGGCAGCAUCACAGAUCAUCUGAAACAAUGCAGUGUUUCCUAUUCAGUAUACAUGUCAUGCACAGAAUACAUUUGGGC
Esox lucius (northern pike) is the source of this 1842-nucleotide long non-coding RNA. NCBI's taxonomy places the organism in Eukaryota, Metazoa, Chordata, Actinopteri, Esociformes, Esocidae. The record is from Ensembl.